UACGUAGGGGGCUAGCGUUGUCCGGAAUCAUUGGGCGUAAAGAGCGCGUAGGCGGCCGAGUAAGUCCGACGUGAAAUCUGGAGGCUCAACCUCCAGCGGUCGUUGGAAACUACUCGGCUAGAGUCCGGAAGAGGAGAGUGGAAUUCCUGGUGUAGCGGUGAAAUGCGCAGAUAUCAGGAAGAACACCGAUGGCGAAAGCAGCUCUCUGGGACGGUACUGACGCUGAGGCGCGAAAGCGUGGGGAGCGAACAGG
RNAcentral lists this ribosomal RNA (253 nucleotides) under uncultured bacterium. RNAcentral describes it as "partial 16S ribosomal RNA". It matches the Rfam family "Bacterial small subunit ribosomal RNA", at positions 524 to 776 of the family's 1533-position model. The record is from RNAcentral.